Molecule: ribosomal RNA, 490 nt
Filed under: uncultured bacterium
Lineage: Bacteria
Description: partial 16S ribosomal RNA
Rfam family: Bacterial small subunit ribosomal RNA
Source: RNAcentral
AUUGAACGCCGGCGGCAGGUCUAACACAUGCCAGUCGAAUUGUAACAGGAAGCUGCUUGCUGCUUUGUUGACGUGUGUCGGACGGGUGAGUAAUGUCUGUGAAACUGCCCGAUGGAGGGGGAUAACUACUGGAAACGGUAGCUAAUACCGCAUAACGUCGCAAGACCAAAGAGGGGGACCUUAGGGCCUCUUGCCAUCGGAUGUGCCCUGAUGGUCUUAGCUAGUAGGUGGGGUAACGGCUCACCUAGGCGACGAUCCCUAGCUGGUCUGAGCGGAGGACCAGCCACACUGAGACUGAGACGCGGACCAGACUCCUACGGGGGGCAGCAGUGGGGAAUAUUGCACAAUGGGCGGAAGCCUGAUGAAGGCAUGACGCGAGUAUGAAGAAGGGCUUCGGGUUGUAAAGUACUUUCAGCGGGGAGGAAGGGAGUAGAGUUAAUACCUUUACUCAUUGACGUUGCCAGCAGAAGAAGCACAGGCUAACUCCGUG